UACGAAGGGGGCUAGCGUUGCUCGGAAUCACUGGGCGUAAAGGGCGCGUAGGCGGCCAUUCAAGUCGGGGGUGAAAGCCCGAGGCUCAACCUCGGAACUGCCUUCGAUACUGCGGGUCUCGAGUCCGGGAGAGGUGAGUGGAAUUCCUAGUGUAGAGGUGAAAUUCGUAGAUAUUAGGAAGAACACCAGUGGCGAAGGCGGCUCACUGGCCCGGUACUGACGCUGAGGCGCGAAAGCGUGGGGAGCAAACAGG
This 253-nucleotide ribosomal RNA is filed under the name uncultured bacterium. Its description in RNAcentral is "partial 16S ribosomal RNA". It matches the Rfam family "Bacterial small subunit ribosomal RNA", at positions 524 to 776 of the family's 1533-position model. The record is from RNAcentral.